UCGUAGGUCAAUGGCAGAGUAUCUGCUUUGCAGGCAGAAGGUCCCAAGUUCAAUCACUGGCAUCUCAA
Molecule: non-coding RNA, 68 nt
Organism: Podarcis lilfordi (Lilford's wall lizard)
Lineage: Eukaryota; Metazoa; Chordata; Lepidosauria; Squamata; Lacertidae
Source: the annotation of a GenBank genome assembly